AACGGCCGUACCAUGCUGAAUAUACCGGUUCUCGUUAGAUCACCGAAGUUAAGCAUCAUUGGGCGCGGUCAGUACUUGGGUGGGUGACCACCUGGGCACACCGCGUGCCGUU
RNAcentral lists this ribosomal RNA (112 nucleotides) under Caerostris darwini. Lineage: Eukaryota; Metazoa; Arthropoda; Arachnida; Araneae; Araneidae. The record is from RNAcentral.